UACGUAGGGUGCAAGCGUUGUCCGGAAUUAUUGGGCGUAAAGAGCUCGUAGGCGGUCUGUCGCGUCGGCUGUGAAAACUCGGGGCUCAACCCCGAGCCUGCAGUCGAUACGGGCAGACUAGAGUGCUGUAGGGGAGACUGGAAUUCCUGGUGUAGCGGUGAAAUGCGCAGAUAUCAGGAGGAACACCGGUGGCGAAGGCGGGUCGCUGGGCAGUAACUGACGCUGAGGAGCGAAAGCGUGGGGAGCGAACAGG
Molecule: ribosomal RNA, 253 nt
Filed under: uncultured bacterium
Lineage: Bacteria
Description: partial 16S ribosomal RNA
Rfam family: Bacterial small subunit ribosomal RNA
Source: RNAcentral